Molecule: ribosomal RNA, 301 nt
Filed under: uncultured bacterium
Lineage: Bacteria
Description: partial 16S ribosomal RNA
Rfam family: Bacterial small subunit ribosomal RNA
Source: RNAcentral
CAGCCGCGCGGGAAUACGGAGGGUGCAAGCGUUAAUCGGAAUUACUGGGCGUAAAGCGCACGCAGGCGGUCUGACAAGUCAGAUGUGAAAUCCCCGGGCUUAACCUGGGAACUGCAUUUGAAACUGUCAGGCUGGAGUCUUGUAGAGGGGGGUGGAAUUCCAGGUGUAGCGGUGAAAUGCGUAGAGAUCUGGAGGAAUACCGGUGGCGAAGGCGGCCCCCUGGACAAAGACUGACGCUCAGGUGCGAAAGCGUGGGGAGCAAACAGGAUUAGAUACCCGCGUAGUCCCUGUCUCUUAUACA